CCUGAGCUCAGACAAUCCGCUUGCCUCGGCCUCCCAAAGUGCUAGGAUUACAGGCAUGAGCCACCGCACCCGGCCCCGGAAUCUGCAUUUCAACAAGCUCUUCUGAUGGUUCCUCUGCAUCUGGGAGUCGAGAAGUUCUUGCUCUAUGGCCUCUGAAGUUGCUUCGAACCCAAUUCAGAAUCUCAACCCACUCCUCUGCCUUUUCUAGUCAUAGUUACUUUUCCUUAAGUGCCACACUGGCAUAAAGGCGUUCGAUGUUCCACUAUCUUUCCUGCAGGUGUUCAGCACAUGAUCGGUGGUUUCUAGGGUCUGCCAUGGGUCUUACUAAUUAUUUGGAACCAAAUAUAACAGAAAACAAGUUUGGAAUUCUAAAAAAUCCCUUAAAAACCUUUUUAAAAAAUCUUGGACACAGCAGCUGUGAAUGGUCUGGGCCUGCCUGUGCAGUUAUUGCUGAAAUUACUGGGGCUGUUGAGUAUUUGGAAAUCAAAUCCCAGAAGUGAAUUGGCUGUGCCAAUCAGUUGUAAAAGGAUCUGGCCCUGGGAGGUUUGAUGGGUAGGGGCAAAUGGGGACAUGGGAAGAGGGUGGGAGGCUUCAGGACUGCAUGAACUGAGUAGAAAGAUUUGGCCUUUGGGGACAGAGCAUGCAACGGGCAGCUGUUCCCGGUGACCUGGGCAUCUGGGACUUACUGAGGGAGAGACGUGAUCUUGGCCUAGCUGACCACCAUCGAAACCACUCAUCGGAGGCGUGGAUGCAGUUUGCUGGGAAGAUGAGCACCGAUCUGUCUGGUGGUCACAUGGAGGGCUUUGCAGAUCUCUGACACUGGAUAUUUCCCCUUGCCCUGGUGCCAAGGACUAGGGGAGAGAUCACUCUGGGCUUGAGUCAGGGACAGGGAUGCCAGGCACAGCGAAAGAAGAUGACUGUGGUACAAACCCAGCUGAUGAAGUGGAAAAUAAAUAAAAGAGAAGGAAUCAAGCUGGUUCAUGUAGGAAGCAUGCACACACUCAUCCCAUCCAUUGUUCCACAUCGGGCACCUCCCUGAGCUAGCUGCCACUCCUGCUGCACUCUGCCACUCCUUGGAAGGCAGCACAGGGCAGUGGUUAGAGCCUUCUCUUUCAGUGUCAGACAGGCCUGGGUUCAUGUCCAGGUCUGCCACUUUACUUACUAGCUGUGGGAUGCUGAUGAGCCCAAGCUCUCUCCUAGCCUGCUUCUUGAUCAGUAAAAUGACAAUGACUAGAGUACCUAGUAUAUGGAGUUACUGCAGGACUUGAAUGUGCCAAUACAUCUAACAUGCUUAGCAUAGGGCCUGAUCAUGGUUGGCAUUUGAUAAGUGCUAGUUGUUAUCAUUAUUAAUAUUACUAAUCAUCAAAGAAAGAUCUUCAGUUGGAUAUUUGGGCAAAAUUAUGAAAUUUAUCCCUAAUCUUUUGAUUUACAGAUUGGUGUGGAUCUGUUAUUAAGUGUUUUCUUUUUUUUUUUUUAAGUUAUCUUGUUUCCUGACUCCUGAAUUGAAGAGUGUUUCUUCUAUGAAUUUCUUUUCUUACAGAAAUAAAAUUGAAAGAACUUUUAGAGAACUGACAUGUUAGACACAGUCUUGAGCUUCAUAGAGAUCACAGUCUGUCAGGGGAGAAAGAGGACGAAAAUAAGCAAUUUCAGUACAGGGGAGGAACAUUUCAAAAGGGGAAUGUGGGGUGCUAGGAAGGAGGGAGAUGCAUGAACUUAACACACCUGUCACUUCUGAGCAACUGGUACUUCCAGCAGCCCCUCCUGCUGCCCCCUCCAUGCUUCCCUCUGAAAGCAACACCUAAUAAGCCAUUAAUAAGUCAGAAGAAAAGGUUUGCCAUGAAGAAAAGGCUCUAAGUAUAUUUCUUUUAGUUUCUUGAAAUUUUCAAGUCUGAUUUUAGGAAGUUGCCAUAACUUGAAAAAUUUCAAACACUGCAUGAGCAUCUAGCAAAAGCUUGUAAAAUAAAAUGAGUGCUCAUCACAUUUAGAGGAAUUAUAAAGGCAGCUGUGAUACAGGAAAAAGAGCCCUAGUCUUGGAGAGUGGAGCUGUGUAUGUGCCCUGGUUUCAGGUGCUGUAUGAUGAUAUCAGGCAUGGCACUAAACUACGAUGAGCCUCAGCUUCUUCAUCUGUAAACUGGGGAUGAGGACACCUACCUCCCAGGAUGGUAGAAGGACUACAUAUGAUUGUACUAGAUACAAAAGUAAAACAGUGAACAAACAGAUGAAGAUUGUUUAUCUGGGAGUUUAAAACCCAGAAUCUUCCAAACAACAGAAUGCUGAAAAUAGUAAAGACUAGCUAAGGUUUAAAAGACUAGCAUUUAUUGAAUCCUUACUGUGUCUAAGCAUGGAAGACAUUUUAUCUCAUUUAAUUCUCAUAACCUGUGAGAUAGAUACUCUCAUCAUCUGCAUAUUACAGGUGAGAAAACUGAGGCUCAGAAAAGUGAAGUAAUUUGUCCCAUAUUCCCAAACUAGCUAGUGUCAAAGCCUGACUUUUUGACACUGGAUGUUUUGAGCUCAGAGCACUUUUUUUUUUUUCUUGGACAUUUUGAGCUUAGAGCACAUCCUCUUUUAUGUUAUAUUCCUGUGCUUGUGUGUAUUAUCUCAUUUAAAACGCACAAUCCUAUGUGGCCUGUAUAUUAUUCCCAUUCAGUAUGUGAGGAAACUAAGUCACAGAGAGAAUAAAUAACUUUCUCAAGGUCACCAAGUAAGUAAACUGGAGUCAGGUUCAAACUCAGGCAGCCUGACUCCAGGGCGCUUCAACCACAAUGCUAAUGGAAUUAUUCUAAAAUGAUUUUAAAAACAAUCAUUCAUUUUCAAAAUCAUGGUAUCGGAAUGCGUGAAAAAAGACUUGCUAUGGCACAGAGAACAUUGUAAUGGGGUAACCCGCCAGGCUAGGAAUGACCCAGGUAUGACCACUGGUCAUGGCACAAGGCCCUUUCUGAGCAAUAUAGGCAGGGCAGAGCCUGCCAUGAUGGAAAUCACAGUAACAUCAUGGAGGUGGCGCUGGUAAAAAAAAAACCAGCUCUGCCCGAUGUGCAUCGAUUACAAGACCUGGUGGCGAACAUAUGUUUUACAGCCCUAAAUUGCAUUCGUGCAAAUAUUUAUCAUCCAUCCCCUGCCAAAUCCGCAUAAUGGAAAAACAAACCAAAGGAAAACCUCCAGAGGAUGUGAAGGCUAUAUCAAGUCUCUUGCCAAUUGUUGUGCUCUUUGGGCGUAAUAUAUCUAAAUCUUAGUAAUUCCAGGAUUUCCAGUAAUCUGGAAUAUCCGCUACCCUGUCCUGAAAGCCCUCCUCCAGCAGUGGGCCGCCCAACUUGAGUUCGCUCAAUUUCCUCUUUCACCUGCAGGUGGCAGCACGAGUGCCGAUCGCUGUCAGGCGAGGGCGCUCAGGGGUGGGAGCCGAAGAGAGUAAUUUAGGGAUAGAGGUGAGAACGGAGUUAGACACAAAAGUAAGAUCACAUGAACUCCGACUUCGGAUGGAACACAUCAUCCAUUUAAACCCUCGAGCCGAGCUCAACUGGAAACUCCACCUAAGCUGGAAGAGACUUGAGCUUGCAAGUGAAAUAAGCCAGAGAAUUUUGAAGAUAUAAAAAGGCGCAUCUCAAUUCCGUGUGGCGGGCAAAAAAUAAAGGAGCAGAUUGUGACAGACCAUUCCCAUCGGCCAUGCGGGCGAACCCAACGUCCUUUUACAUUGAAGAACCCAACGGGGCCUUUUACAUUGCGGAUGAUGGACCGGCUCGUGACGUCCAUGAAUUUCACGCGCACCUGUGUGCACUGUCCCUGAGAGCCGGUCCUGCCCAGGACCUUGGUGACCCUGGCCAGCUUGAUAGGCUGCACACGGCUGGUGUUCAUGAUGGCGGCGCAGCGACGAUGUGGCG
RNAcentral lists this long non-coding RNA (3872 nucleotides) under Homo sapiens (human). Its description in RNAcentral is "HSALNT0303647". Lineage: Eukaryota; Metazoa; Chordata; Mammalia; Primates; Hominidae. The record is from RNAcentral.